This 507-nucleotide ribosomal RNA is filed under the name uncultured bacterium. RNAcentral's name for it is "partial 16S ribosomal RNA". It matches the Rfam family "Bacterial small subunit ribosomal RNA", at positions 29 to 507 of the family's 1533-position model. The record is from RNAcentral.
ACGAACGCUGGCGGCGUGCUUCACACAUGCAAGUCGAACGGGCCUUGUCCCCUUUUUUUUUGGGGGUGGGGUUAGUGGCGAACGGGUGAGUAACACGUGAGUAACCUGCCCCUCACUUCUGGAUAACCGCUUGAAAGGGUGGCUAAUACGGGGUGUUCUGGCCUGCUCGCAUGGGUGGGUUUGGAAAGAUUCGACCGGUUUUGGUUGUUUUGGUGGGGGAUGGGCUCGCGGCCUAUCAGCUUGUUGGUGGGGUGAUGGCCUGCCAAGGCUUUGACGGGUAGCCGGCCUGAGAGGGUGGGCGGUCACACUGGGACUGAGACACGGCCCAGACUCCUACGGGAGGCAGCAGUGGGGAAUAUUGCACAAUGGGCGCAAGCCUGAUGCAGCGACGCCGCGUGAGGGAUGGAGGCCGUCGGGUUGUGAACCUCUUUCGCCAGUGAAGAAGGUCCUGCUCUUUGUGGUGGGGUUGACGGUAGCUGGGUUAAUGAAGCGCCGGCUAACUACGUG